AAGAGGAAUUCUACCCAUGUUGCUCAGAAAUGCUGGAUAAAAUUUCUGCUGCAUUGUGAAACAAAUAGUUCAGGCAACAUAACCCUAUUGUUUUGUGUAUAAGGUUCAGUUGCCUCCAUAUAAUUUUCUGGUGCUGUAUCGGAUGCCCAGGGUUAUUCUACAUCCUUCCCAGGUGGUAUUCCAGAAAUGUCCAAGUCUCCCAGAGAUUAUUUAUCAAAUUUGUUCCCAUGUGGAUGUCACAAAUAUCAAUGGGCAUAUAAAAUGAUGCUUAAAUAAUUGAAGACUGUCUUAUCAUCUUUUGAGAUUAGACUGUUGCAGGUAUCUAACAACAGGACAGUUUUAAGGACAUAUGUUCUUCAUUGGGGUGAGGAAGGAAACAGUCUUGUCUCAAACAUUGGAUCCAGUUUUGUUAGUAAGAAACAAAACACAGAUUUGGAAUGCUCAUAUGGCUGCUUCCUUCAACUUGAGGUUUGGUCACAUCUGGUUACACUGUAUGGACUUUAGGACAGUUUUUCAUGAAAUGUGAGGAGACAGAGCUGCAGAGAGAGAGACUGGCCUUGACAAGUUAGCUGUGGGAAUGGUGUCUUUGUCACCCAUCCCUGCCAGGGAGCCAAUAGCAGAAGGUAUAUUGGCGAUAAUUUUUACAAGUCGACAUCAGCUGACAGAAG
This 668-nucleotide long non-coding RNA is filed under the name Corvus moneduloides (New Caledonian crow). RNAcentral describes it as "lncRNA (ENSCMUG00000019452.1)". Lineage: Eukaryota; Metazoa; Chordata; Aves; Passeriformes; Corvidae. The record is from RNAcentral.